CGAAAGCCUGACGGAGCAAUACCGCGUGAAGGAUGACGGCCUAUGGGUUGUAAACUUCUUUUCUCAGAGAAGAAUUUUGACGGUAUCUGAGGAAUAAGCAUCGGCUAACUCUGUGCCAGCAGCCGCGGUAAGACAGAGGAUGCAAGCGUUAUCCGGAUUAAUUGGGCGUAAAGCGUCUGUAGGUGGUUUAUCAAGUCUUUUGUCAAAGAUCAGGGCCUAACCCUGGGCAGGCAGAAGAAACUAAUAAACUUGAGUUCGGUAGGGGCAGAGGGAAUUCCCGGUGGAGCGGUGAAAUGCGUAGAGAUCGGGAGGAAC
This 315-nucleotide ribosomal RNA is filed under the name uncultured Chlorophyta. RNAcentral describes it as "bacterial SSU rRNA". It matches the Rfam family "Bacterial small subunit ribosomal RNA", at positions 376 to 707 of the family's 1533-position model. The record is from RNAcentral. Lineage: Eukaryota; Viridiplantae; Chlorophyta.